Non-coding RNA from Malus domestica (apple), 887 nucleotides. Lineage: Eukaryota; Viridiplantae; Streptophyta; Magnoliopsida; Rosales; Rosaceae. The record is from RefSeq and is a predicted model, not a curated record.
UUGCUGUUACUCGAUCCACUACUGCUUUGAUUCAUAUGUUGUUCUGUCAACCAAAAAGCCAGAGCCUGUUUCUCGAACUCUCUCCUACGGCGGAACCACCGCCAUCAUCAGUUUUUUAGAUUCACACUCAAUUUUCCUCACAAGUCGAAUCUGCAACCACGAUGUCCAUGGGAAACAGGGAGUCUGAUCGGGGAAGUUCUUGAGCCAAUUCAGGGAAAUUGAGAUCGGUAGACGCACCUUUGAGGUCUAUAGCUGCUGCAUCCUAUGCUCGAGCUGCCAUUUCAGUUGUUGGGUAUGACUAAUUUCUUUCCUUUCUGGCCAAUUUUCGACACCCAAAGUUGUUAUCUUUCAAUUUCCCACAUGGCUCUUCUGGUUCCUCGAUUCCCUUCACUCCUCCUUUCCCCAUUCCUACUCCUCCACUCUCCUCUUUCUUUAUUCUUCUUAUUUCUUCUCUUUAAUUUUUAGUGCUUAUUUCUAUAAAGCUUUUGAAAAUAUUUUGGCUUAGGAUUUUGUUUGUUUUGUGUGAUUGUACUUGCAGAGCAAGGGGAAUGUUACCCCCAAUGAUUACUUAUAAAAAAUAAAAUAAAAUAAUAAUAAUAAUAAAAAAAAAAGAGCAAUUUGGUUCUGCUUCAAACCUACAACGACAACAAGGAGAAAUGAGUCGGCCGGAGGACUCUGAAAGAUAAUUGUUGUUGUUGCUGCUAUAGAUAUGCCGGCGGAGCCUGUGGAGGGAGAGUUUAGGCUUGGUUUGAGAAGUGGGAUAAUCCUCUGCAAUGCUAUCUAUAAAGUUCAAACUGGAGCUGUGCCCAAGUCAACAAAAAAUCUUCAUUGAAUACAUAAUGUUUGAUGGAGUGACUGAUGAAGAGCAACAUGCACACCUACUCGGG